RNAcentral lists this ribosomal RNA (1024 nucleotides) under Lacticaseibacillus rhamnosus. RNAcentral describes it as "bacterial SSU rRNA". It matches the Rfam family "Bacterial small subunit ribosomal RNA", at positions 256 to 1274 of the family's 1533-position model. Lineage: Bacteria; Bacillati; Bacillota; Bacilli; Lactobacillales; Lactobacillaceae. The record is from RNAcentral.
GGUAACGGCUCCCCAAGGCAAUGGUACGUAGCCGAACUGAGAGGUUGAUCGGCCACAUUGGGACUGAGACACGGCCCAAAUUCCUACGGGAAGCAGCAGUAGGGAUCUUCCACAAUUGGACGCAAGUCUGAUGGAGCAACGCCGCGUGAGUGAAGAAGGCUUUCGGGUCGUAAAACUCUGUUGUUGGAGAAGAAUGGUCGGCAGAGUAACUGUUGUCGGCGUGACGGUAUCCAACCAGAAAGCCACGGCUAACUACGUGCCAGCAGCCGCGGUAAUACGUAGGUGGCAAGCGUUAUCCGGAUUUAUUGGGCGUAAAGCGAGCGCAGGCGGUUUUUUAAGUCUGAUGUGAAAGCCCUCGGCUUAACCGAGGAAGUGCAUCGGAAACUGGGAAACUUGAGUGCAGAAGAGGACAGUGGAACUCCAUGUGUAGCGGUGAAAUGCGUAGAUAUAUGGAAGAACACCAGUGGCGAAGGCGGCUGUCUGGUCUGUAACUGACGCUGAGGCUCGAAAGCAUGGGUAGCGAACAGGAUUAGAUACCCUGGUAGUCCAUGCCGUAAACGAUGAAUGCUAGGUGUUGGAGGGUUUCCGCCCUUCAGUGCCGCAGCUAACGCAUUAAGCAUUCCGCCUGGGGAGUACGACCGCAAGGUUGAAACUCAAAGGAAUUGACGGGGGCCCGCACAAGCGGUGGAGCAUGUGGUUUAAUUCGAAGCAACGCGAAGAACCUUACCAGGUCUUGACAUCUUUUGAUCACCUGAGAGAUCAGGUUUCCCCUUCGGGGGCAAAAUGACAGGUGGUGCAUGGUUGUCUCAGCUCGUGUCGUGAGAUGUUGGGUUAAGUCCCGCAACGAGCGCAACCCUUAUGACUAGUUGCCAGCAUUUAGUUGGGCACUCUAGUAAGACUGCCGGUGACAAACCGGAGGAAGGUGGGGAUGACGUCAAAUCAUCAUGCCCCUUAUGACCUGGGCUACACACGUGCUACAAUGGAUGGUACAACGAGUUGCGAGACCGCGAGGUCAAGCUAAUCU